RNAcentral lists this ribosomal RNA (497 nucleotides) under uncultured bacterium. RNAcentral describes it as "partial 16S ribosomal RNA". It matches the Rfam family "Bacterial small subunit ribosomal RNA", at positions 28 to 507 of the family's 1533-position model. The record is from RNAcentral.
GAUGAACGCUGGCGGCGUGCCUAAUACAUGCAAGUCGAGCGAACAGAUGAUGCUCUUGCUCCUCUGACGUUAGCGGCGGACGGGUGAGUAACACGUGUAUAACCUACCUAUAAGACUGGUAUAACUUCGGGAAACCGGAUCUAAUACCGGAUAAUAUAUUGAACCGCAUGGUUCAAUAGUGAAAUUCGGUUUUUCUGUCUCUUAUAGCUGGUUCCGCGCCGCAUUAGCUAGUUGGUAAGGUAACGGCUUACCAAGGCAACCAUGCGUAGACGACCUGAGAGGGGGAUAGGCGACACGGGAAGGGAAACAGGGACAAGAGGACUAAGGGAGGCAGCAGAAGGGAAUGGGCGGCAAUGGGGGAAAGAAUGACGGAGCAACGGGGAGUGAGAGAUGAAGGUGUUCGGAUCGUAAAAAUCUGUUAUGAGGGAAGAACAAAUGUGGAAGGAAAUAAGGAGGUAGUGACGGUAACGAAUAAGAAAGCAACGGCUAACUACGUG